This 442-nucleotide ribosomal RNA is filed under the name Salmonella enterica. RNAcentral's name for it is "partial 23S ribosomal RNA". It matches the Rfam family "Bacterial large subunit ribosomal RNA", at positions 911 to 1350 of the family's 2925-position model. The record is from RNAcentral. Lineage: Bacteria; Pseudomonadati; Pseudomonadota; Gammaproteobacteria; Enterobacterales; Enterobacteriaceae.
UGUUUCGGCUAGGGGGCCAUCCCGGCUUACCAACCCGAUGCAAACUGCGAAUACCGGAGAAUGUUAUCACGGGAGACACACGGCGGGUGCUAACGUCCGUCGUGAAGAGGGAAACAACCCAGACCGCCAGCUAAGGUCCCAAAGUCAUGGUUAAGUGGGAAACGAUGUGGGAAGGCCCAGACAGCCAGGAUGUUGGCUUAGAAGCAGCCAUCAUUUAAAGAAAGCGUAAUAGCUCACUGGUCGAGUCGGCCUGCGCGGAAGAUGUAACGGGGCUAAACCAUGCACCGAAGCUGCGGCAGCGACACUGUGUGUUGUUGGGUAGGGGAGCGUUCUGUAAGCCUGUGAAGGUGGCCUGUGAGGGUUGCUGGAGGUAUCAGAAGUGCGAAUGCUGACAUAAGUAACGAUAAAGCGGGUGAAAAGCCCGCUCGCCGGAAGACCAAGG